GGCUGGUCUGAAGGUCGGAGGCCUAAUUUUAACGCGUUUUCCUCCCUUUAAUUUGAAACGGGAACGCGAAUAACUAAAAUAGGAAGACACUUAAAGAUGAAGUGCUUAAUUCAAGGUCACAGAAUGUCGGGGAUGGACCUCCAGAUUUCCUUACUGGAAAACAAGCUCAGGGCUCCCACUGAUUGUACAUUAUGGUGAGACGUGGUCUUGUAACACAGUGGUUAAGAAUGUGACUUUGGAGCCAGCCUGCUAGGGGCUGAAUUCUGACUCAGCCAUUUAUUAACUGUGUGACCUUAGAUGGAGUCUCACUCUGUAGCCCAAGCUGGAGUGGCGUGAUCUCGACUCACUGCAACCUCCGCCUCCUGGGCUCAAGUGAUUCUCGUGCCUCAGCCUCCUGAGUAGCUGGGACUACAGGUCAUAGAAUUUUCCACACUCCUUGACGGAGGUUCUUAACCCUUAUCCAUCAGCAUUCUCAGACAGCACCUCCGGUUAGGGACAGUAUCUGACCGUCCGACAUCCCUGCAGCCCCCAUGCUGUCACACAGACUCAGCCUCAGGUAGAUGGUUUCCGUAGAUGGUGGCUUUCUUUGGACCCUUGAUAUCAACCAGUUACUAUUUGACUCUUCUGCAGAACCCCAUGUUGACCCCUGCUUUGAGGUGGCAGCGUUAACACUACUCUUUGUUAUAAGCUCUCGUCUGGGGCAACUCAGGAGAACCUCCUGCAACCACCGCUCUACUUUCUGUCUCUAUGAACUUGACUACUCUAGACACCUCAUGGGACCAGAUGUGCAGAGGUAAUGAAUACCAGGGAAUCAGGAAACCACUGGAUCAGUUCUUUGAGCCAUAGAACAACACUCAUCCCAGCAGCUGGGAAGCUAUCUGCAAAAGUCCAUCUGCAGAAAGGGCUUCCUGGUCUUGCGUGUGGCUGGGCCAUUUCUCUGGAUGCAGGUUUUUCAUUAUACAGUCUUCUCAAAGGACCACCUGCUCUCAACACCUUCUCGGUGACUCCAUUUCCCCUCCUCU
This 1022-nucleotide non-coding RNA is filed under the name Pongo abelii (Sumatran orangutan). Lineage: Eukaryota; Metazoa; Chordata; Mammalia; Primates; Hominidae. The record is from RNAcentral.